CCUACGGGUGGCUGCAGUGGGGGAUAUUGCACAAUGGGGGGAACCCUGAUGCAGCGACGCCGCGUGGGUGAAGAAGCGCCUCGGCGCGUAAAGCCCUGUCAGCAGGGAAGCAAAUGACGGUACCUGAAGAAGAAGCCCCGGCUAACUACGUGCCAGCAGCCGAGGUUAUACGGAGGGGGCAAGCGUUAUCCGGAUUUCCUGGGGGUAAAGGGGGCGCAGACGGCGCUGCAAGUCAGGAGUGAAAGCCCGGGGCCCAACCCCGGGACCGCUCUUGGAACUGCGUGGCUGGAGUGCAGGAGGGGCAGGCGGAAUGCCUGGUGUAGCGGUGAAAUGCGUAGAUAUCAGGAGGAACACCGGUGGCGAAGGUGGCCUGCUGGACUGCAACUGACGUUGAGGCCCGAAAGCGUGGGGAGCAAACAGGAUUAGAUACCCUUGUAGUC
RNAcentral lists this ribosomal RNA (440 nucleotides) under uncultured bacterium. RNAcentral describes it as "partial 16S ribosomal RNA". It matches the Rfam family "Bacterial small subunit ribosomal RNA", at positions 338 to 795 of the family's 1533-position model. The record is from RNAcentral.